AGAACGAACGCUGGCGGCAUGCCUAAUACAUGCAAGUCGAACGAGAUCUUCGGAUCUAGUGGCGCACGGGUGCGUAACGCGUGGGAAUCUACCCUUGGGUUCGGAAUAACAGUUGGAAACGACUGCUAAUACCGGAUGAUGACGAAAGUCCAAAGAUUUAUCGCCCAAGGAUGAGCCCGCGUAGGAUUAGCUAGUUGGUGAGGUAAAGGCUCACCAAGGCUACGAUCCUUAGCUGGUCUGAGAGGAUGAUCAGCCACACUGGACUGAGACACGGCCCAGACUCCUACGGGAGCAGCAGAGGAAUA
Molecule: ribosomal RNA, 305 nt
Filed under: uncultured soil bacterium
Lineage: Bacteria
Description: bacterial SSU rRNA
Rfam family: Bacterial small subunit ribosomal RNA
Source: RNAcentral